UCUUGUUGGCCCCACCAAACUGUGUACUGGCAGGACUAAAGACCUCUGGGACUUGUAGUUCUUCCAAGGGCUUCUUCAGGAUUGUGUGGAGCUUGUUGGCUAGGAGUCUUGAGCCGCCCAAAUCCAGCUCUGCAACAGGAAAGCAAAGAUCAAGGUGGUAAGGAGCAGGCAAACUUAAGAAGAGUUUGAGGCUCUCUGCCCUACUUUAGCCUCAUAACAACCCUGCAAGUUUGGCUCCAUUUCUUCAUUCUGCUGGCUUGACUUUUCUUCUGAUCUCCUAAGACAUCAACGGAAACUUGAUCAUAGAGGAAAGUCUAUUGACACGUCAACUUCCAUCUGCAAACACGUGUAACAUUUGGAAAACCUCAAGAAAAUGAUGGUUAUUAAGCGUGUGAUCAACAACAUCUACUGGUUCUACUGGCAAUUUCAGCUGGUCACAAUGACUUAUCUCAUGGAUCCUUUUGAAUGGUGGGUCUUCCACAGUUUUCUCCUUGUUACAUUUAUGCUGUCGGCAUACAUUUUUUAUGCUGUUGUUCCCCCUCAGAUUCACCUGGUUCUGGGGCAUGUUCGUCAUUUAUUUGGCUUGCAGCCAGGAAGUACCAUUUCAGCUGUGAUGUGAACUUGUCAUCAAUAACAUUGACUGGGAUUUUUUUUCUCCUGACAUGUUUUACAUGUUUUUAAGCGUUGUGAGUAUAACCAGUGGAGACUCUGGAAUCUAUAGAAACAUGUGAACAUUUUUAUUCUUUGAAAAAAGCUUCAACGAAGCCACCAUGGUUACUUCCUUCUUACACCACUUACUGACUGUCUCUACUUGUUUGGAAAAAAAAGGUGAGUGGAAUGUUAUGUGAAAAUUUUACCUUUUUCAGAUGAAGUGUUCUCUUCAAGUUCUUGUUCUGGAAUAAGUUCCCUGGGAUGUUCAUUUGUUAUCAAAAUUCUGUCUCACAACACAAUUGUUAUUGAAAUGUUUUUCCAAUUCAUUAUGUAGAAGUUUUCUGUGACAGACUGUCAAAAGUAAAUAAAAAGUGGAAGAAAGCAGAACGAGAAAGAAGAAUGUUUUUUGUAGCAUACCUUUAUUACCUUGUAGAAAUUCUGGGAAUUAACUCCAGAAUGUUGUGUCACACCAUAAACCUAAUUCAGAUUUAAGCUCUGUUCUAUACAUGCUUAUUUGUGAGAAAUCAUCAUAAAAUUUAAUGUGACUUAUGGUCUGAAUAAAUCUGUAUAGGACUGCACAAUUAUUUACACUUUGUUGUACAUAAUUACUUGUUUAGCUACAUGCUCAUCUAUGUGAAAUGCAUCUGUCAAAUCCUUCAGUGACGAUCAGAGGCACAAUAUACAUUCCUAAACAGAGAUGUGUAGUUCAGGUUAUCUGGUAUUUAUCUGAUAUCCCAACGUUUUCCAGGUUGUCCACAAGAAAAGAAAUGGAACCAUGAUGGAUUAAUUUAUCCAAGCCUUUUGACUAUAGUUUUUUGUGGGAUUUUCGGGCUACGUGGCCA
Sceloporus undulatus (fence lizard) is the source of this 1493-nucleotide long non-coding RNA. RefSeq lists it as uncharacterized. The transcript is spliced from 3 exons. The record is from RefSeq and is a predicted model, not a curated record. Lineage: Eukaryota; Metazoa; Chordata; Lepidosauria; Squamata; Phrynosomatidae.